AUUGAACGCUGGCGGCAUGCCUAACACAUGCAAGUCGAACGGUAACAGGAAGAAGCUUUCUUCUUUGCUGAUUAGUGGCGGGUGGGUGAGUCAUGUCUGGGCUACUUCCUGAUGGAGGGGGAUAACUACUGGAAACGGUAGCUAAUACCUCAUAACGUCGCAUGACUAACAUGUGGGACCUUCGUGCCUUUUGCUCUCUGCUGUGCCCAGAUGGGUUUUGCUAGUAGGUGGGGUAACGGCCUACCUAGGCGACGAUCCCUAGCUGGUCUGAGAGGAUGACGAGCAAAACUGGAACUGGAACACGGUCCAGACUCCUACGGGAGGCAGCAGUGGGGAAUAUUGCACAAUGGGCGCAAGCCUGAUGAAGCCAGGCCGCGUGUAUGAAGAAGGCCUUCGGGUUGUAAAGUACUUUCAGAGGGGAGGAAGGGAGUAAAGGUAAUAACUUUGCUCAUUGACGUUACCCGCAGAAGAAGCACCGGCUAACUCCGUG
RNAcentral lists this ribosomal RNA (490 nucleotides) under uncultured bacterium. Its description in RNAcentral is "partial 16S ribosomal RNA". It matches the Rfam family "Bacterial small subunit ribosomal RNA", at positions 30 to 507 of the family's 1533-position model. The record is from RNAcentral.